GUCACUCUGUGCUUCACAGUGUGGCAGAACCUAGAGUGUCCAUUAGCAGGCGAAAAUUCUGGGAGGAAUCAACAUGUGGAAAGGACAAAAACCCUGUCUGAAUUCUCUCACAUUGCCCUUCUCGCCUUGGCAGGCUACAGAAUAACGUCCACGUUUCGCUCCAGAUCAUCCCCUCCUCCCAGGGGGAAGGAAAUGGCUGCAAUGGAGCUGGCUCAGGGGCUGGUGACCUUCGAGGAGGUAGCUGUAUAUUUCACCAAGGAGGAAUGGACUCUGCUGGACCCCACUCAGAGAGCCCUCCACAGGGAUGUCAUGCAGGAGAACUAUGAGACGGUGACCUCACUGGUAGGGUUUCCAGUUUCCAAACCUGAUGUGAUCUCGCAGCUGGAACGAGGGGAAGAG
Long non-coding RNA from Mauremys mutica (yellowpond turtle), 399 nucleotides. RefSeq lists it as uncharacterized. Lineage: Eukaryota; Metazoa; Chordata; Testudines; Geoemydidae. The transcript has 3 exons. The record is from RefSeq and is a predicted model, not a curated record.